Molecule: long non-coding RNA, 1499 nt
Organism: Pelodiscus sinensis (Chinese soft-shelled turtle)
Lineage: Eukaryota; Metazoa; Chordata; Testudines; Trionychidae
Source: RefSeq, a predicted model, not a curated record
CAGUAAACCUCUUUCUACGAGGAAGAAUACCUUUUCCAAAAACGUUUUUUUGGAAAAAGGCAUGUAAGGAUGUGGAAGAGGGACUUGUGUCGAAAAAAGAGGCCACCAGGAAAUUACACGGGUGCCCUGCUGGCCAUUCCAUUCAAACUCAUCACAAUACUAUAGUUCCUGUCUCCUAGCAGCUCUUAAAGACGUAGGCACCCGGGACAAGGCUUGUGGCAGGAAGCCAGCCCUGGGAGCUGUAUCUCACCGCACAGCUCACACUGCUACGCUCCUUGGCACCAUGGCCUAGCCUCAAGCCACCCGAGAACCCACUGGCCCUCAGAGGGAGCAUGCCCAGGGUUCCCAGGACCCUACCAAGGGCACAAAAAGGUGUGUGCCAUUGUGGUCUGGAGCGGACAUGGCCCUCCUUGAUGUAUGGGGUGAGGAGGAGACCCUCCAGGUUCUCCGCUCCAGACGGCGCAAAGCCAACAUCCACGGCUGGAUGGAUAAAGCCCUGGCAGUGAGGGGCCAACACCCCAGGAGCCUUGAGCAGGUCAGGAGCAAGGUCAAGGAGCUGCGGCAGGGCUACACCAGGGCCAGGGAGCACAGCUCUCACUCCAGGGCAGAAAGACACUGCUGUCCCUACUUCAACAAGCUGCACCGCAUCCUGGGGCCUGGGGCAGUCCCUUCCUCAUCCCUGGUUGUGGGCUCAGGGCUGGAGAUGCCCAUUGUCACCUGCCCGGGGGUCCUAACUGACGAGGAGGAGGAGGAUGCUGAGUUGGAGGAGGAGGAGGAAGACACAGCCAGCGCUGUCACCCUCAGCCUGGAGCCAGUACCCCAGGGCCUGGAUUUCUCCCAGGCAUCCUCUGAGGCUGGGGAGAAAUCAUCAGCUCCGGAGAUGUAAACUUCUAAUAACUCUGCUGCCUGAGAAUUUCAACUCAAACUUGAGUUCUGGCUGAGACAAUGCUUUGGUGCUGUUGUGAAACUGUGUGUUUCUGGACUUUGAGCAGCACUUGAUUUGAAGAUAGGACAAGACGAAACUAGCUUAAUGUGUAGGAAGGGAUUUUAAAGGGCACUUUUCAUUCCAUAGUGUCAUUUACAUGCCCAAUGUAGUAAGUAUUAACAGUGGCUAAUGCACCCACCAUUGAAACAAUGGUCACAUACUGAAAAGGAACCAGACACACACCCCAGGAGAAUGAGGUCAGGAAGAAUGUCAUCUGAUCCUGCUGUGGAAUUUGCUUAAGACAUUGGAGUUAAUACUUCAUCUGGAAAUCUGCCAACUGAUCAGGUUUAGAGCUCGACAAAAUAUUUUAAUAAACAAUGUAGUCAAGAAAUAAAUCCUUCUCCUGUUUGUGAAACAUCCAUCCACAAAUUGUUUCUCCUUCUUUUGUUAAAGUUAUUUCACAAAUGUUUUCUGCCAACGUAUUCCAGUUUAUCAAUUACUUGCAAACUACCCAUCAUGCAUAUUGCUAACAGCAUUCACUCUUUGAAAUUCUUGAUCUGUAGUUGGUCAUGGU